RNAcentral lists this ribosomal RNA (890 nucleotides) under Paraburkholderia sp. RNAcentral describes it as "bacterial SSU rRNA". It matches the Rfam family "Bacterial small subunit ribosomal RNA", at positions 88 to 973 of the family's 1533-position model. Lineage: Bacteria; Pseudomonadati; Pseudomonadota; Betaproteobacteria; Burkholderiales; Burkholderiaceae. The record is from RNAcentral.
GCGGCGAGUGGCGAACGGGUGAGUAAUACAUCGGAACGUGUCCUGGAGUGGGGGAUAGCCCGGCGAAAGCCGGAUUAAUACCGCAUACGCUCUGUGGAGGAAAGCGGGGGAUCUUCGGACCUCGCGCUCAAGGGGCGGCCGAUGGCAGAUUAGCUAGUUGGUGGGGUAAAGGCCUACCAAGGCGACGAUCUGUAGCUGGUCUGAGAGGACGACCAGCCACACUGGGACUGAGACACGGCCCAGACUCCUACGGGAGGCAGCAGUGGGGAAUUUUGGACAAUGGGGGCAACCCUGAUCCAGCAAUGCCGCGUGUGUGAAGAAGGCCUUCGGGUUGUAAAGCACUUUUGUCCGGAAAGAAAACUUCGUCCCUAAUACGGGUGGAGGAUGACGGUACCGGAAGAAUAAGCACCGGCUAACUACGUGCCAGCAGCCGCGGUAAUACGUAGGGUGCGAGCGUUAAUCGGAAUUACUGGGCGUAAAGCGUGCGCAGGCGGUUCGCUAAGACCGAUGUGAAAUCCCCGGGCUUAACCUGGGAACUGCAUUGGUGACUGGCGGGCUAGAGUAUGGCAGAGGGGGGUAGAAUUCCACGUGUAGCAGUGAAAUGCGUAGAGAUGUGGAGGAAUACCGAUGGCGAAGGCAGCCCCCUGGGCCAAUACUGACGCUCAUGCACGAAAGCGUGGGGAGCAAACAGGAUUAGAUACCCUGGUAGUCCACGCCCUAAACGAUGUCAACUAGUUGUCGGGUCUUCAUUGACUUGAUAACGUAGCUAACGCGUGAAGUUGACCGCCUGGGGAGUACGGUCGCAAGAUUAAAACUCAAAGGAAUUGACGGGGCACCCGCACAAGCGGUGGAUGAUGUGUAUUAAUUCGAUGCAACGCGAAAAAACCUUA